UACGGGAGGCAGCAGUAGGGAAUCUUCCGCAAUGGACGAAAGUCUGAGAGAGCAACGCCGCGUGAGUGAUGAAGGUUUUCGGAUCGUAAAGCUCUGUUGUUAGGGAAGAACAAGUGCCGUUCGAAUAGGGCGCCACCUUGACGGUACCUAACCAGAAAGCCACGGCUAACUACGUGCCAGCAGCCGCGGUAAUACGUAGGUGGCAAGCGUUGUCCGGAAUUAUUGGGCGUAAAGGGCUCGCAGGUGGUUUCUUAAGUCUGAUGUGAAAGCCCCCGGCUCAACCGGGGAGGGUCAUUGGAAACUGGGGAACUUGAGUGCAGAAGAGGAGAGUGGAAUUCCACGUGUAGCGGUGAAAUGCGUAGAGAUGUGGAGGAACACCAGUGGCGAAGGCGACUCUCUGGUCUGAGACUGACGCUGAGGAGCGUCAGCGUGGGGAGCGAACAGGAUUAGAUACCCUGGUAGUCCACGCCGUAAACGAUGAGUGCUAAGUGUUAGGGGGUUUCCGCCCCUUAGUGCUGCAGCGCACGCAUUAAGC
Molecule: ribosomal RNA, 535 nt
Filed under: Bacillus subtilis
Lineage: Bacteria; Bacillati; Bacillota; Bacilli; Caryophanales; Bacillaceae
Description: bacterial SSU rRNA
Rfam family: Bacterial small subunit ribosomal RNA
Source: RNAcentral